This 1083-nucleotide ribosomal RNA is filed under the name Francisella tularensis subsp. holarctica. Its description in RNAcentral is "bacterial SSU rRNA". It matches the Rfam family "Bacterial small subunit ribosomal RNA", at positions 173 to 1254 of the family's 1533-position model. Lineage: Bacteria; Pseudomonadati; Pseudomonadota; Gammaproteobacteria; Thiotrichales; Francisellaceae. The record is from RNAcentral.
AUAAUAUCUGUGGAUUAAAGGUGGCUUUCGGGCUGUCGCAGAUGGAUGAGCCUGCGUUGGAUUAGCUAGUUGGUGGGGUAAGGGCCCACCAAGGCUACGAUCCAUAGCUGAUUUGAGAGGAUGAUCAGCCACAUUGGGACUGAGACACGGCCCAAACUCCUACGGGAGGCAGCAGUGGGGAAUAUUGGACAAUGGGGGCAACCCUGAUCCAGCAAUGCCAUGUGUGUGAAGAAGGCCCUAGGGUUGUAAAGCACUUUAGUUGGGGAGGAAAGCCUCAAGGUUAAUAGCCUUGGGGGAGGACGUUACCCAAAGAAUAAGCACCGGCUAACUCCGUGCCAGCAGCCGCGGUAAUACGGGGGGUGCAAGCGUUAAUCGGAAUUACUGGGCGUAAAGGGUCUGUAGGUGGUUUGUUAAGUCAGAUGUGAAAGCCCAGGGCUCAACCUUGGAACUGCAUUUGAUACUGGCAAACUAGAGUACGGUAGAGGAAUGGGGAAUUUCUGGUGUAGCGGUGAAAUGCGUAGAGAUCAGAAGGAACACCAAUGGCGAAGGCAACAUUCUGGACCGAUACUGACACUGAGGGACGAAAGCGUGGGGAUCAAACAGGAUUAGAUACCCUGGUAGUCCACGCUGUAAACGAUGAGUACUAGCUGUUGGAGUCGGUGUAAAGGCUCUAGUGGCGCAGCUAACGCGAUAAGUACUCCGCCUGGGGACUACGGCCGCAAGGCUAAAACUCAAAGGAAUUGACGGGGACCCGCACAAGCGGUGGAGCAUGUGGUUUAAUUCGAUGCAACGCGAAGAACCUUACCUGGUCUUGACAUCCUGCGAACUUUCUAGAGAUAGAUUGGUGCCUUCGGGAACGCAGUGACAGGUGCUGCACGGCUGUCGUCAGCUCGUGUUGUGAAAUGUUGGGUUAAGUCCCGCAACGAGCGCAACCCCUAUUGAUAGUUACCAUCAUUAAGUUGGGUACUCUAUUAAGACUGCCGCUGACAAGGCGGAGGAAGGUGGGGACGACGUCAAGUCAUCAUGGCCCUUACGACCAGGGCUACACACGUGCUACAAUGGGUAUUACAGAGGGCUGCGAAG